UGAUUUAGGAUCAAUUUAUUGGUUACACUCCCCUAUCACCAGUGAUUCUUUGUCGUAAGCUGACAUUUUGAAAAAGGUAUACUGUUGACUAUCAAUUUGCAUGAUUAGUUACAGAUGUCGACUCGGACUACUGCAAAAGACAAUAAUUCAGUUCACUGAUUUAGAUUGAAUAGUGGUUCGGUUAAUUCUCCUUUUCCCCAAACAAGGCAAGAACAUUAAAGAUAAAGGGAAACUAUAAACAAAAGAGAUUAUCAACAAAAAUAGAUUUCAGACGUCAACAAAGCCUAAAUGGUCAGACAUCUUGGUUUUCAUGAUCAUCAUUCAACAGGUCAAUAAUGAACAGA
Mytilus californianus (California mussel) is the source of this 344-nucleotide long non-coding RNA. RefSeq lists it as uncharacterized. The record is from RefSeq and is a predicted model, not a curated record. The transcript has 3 exons. NCBI's taxonomy places the organism in Eukaryota, Metazoa, Mollusca, Bivalvia, Mytilida, Mytilidae.